Molecule: ribosomal RNA, 329 nt
Filed under: uncultured eukaryote
Lineage: Eukaryota
Description: partial 18S ribosomal RNA
Rfam family: Eukaryotic small subunit ribosomal RNA
Source: RNAcentral
CCCUUAGAUGUUCUGGGCCGCACGCGCGCUACACUGAUACAUUCAACGAGUCUAAAACCUGCUCUGAUAGGGGUGGGUAAUCUUUUGAAUGUGCAUCGUGAUUGGGAUAGAUGAUUGCAAUUUUUCAUCUUCAACGAGGAAUGCCUAGUAAACGCAAGUCAUCAGCUUGCAUUGAUUACGUCCCUGCCCUUUGUACACACCGCCCGUCGCUCCUACCGAUUGAAUGAUCCGAUGAAUAUCAUGGAUUGAGGAUGCAAGUAGGUUCGCCUAUCUUCAUCUUCGAGAAGUGAAGUAAAUCUUAUCAUUUAGAGGAAGGAGAAGUCGUAACA